CACGUAGGGGGCGAGCGUUGUCCGGAUUUAUUGGGCGUAAAGAGCUCGUAGGCGGUUUGUUGCGUCGGCUGUGAAAUCCCGAGGCUCAACCUCGGGUCUGCAGUCGAUACGAGCAAACUAGAGUGUUGCAGGGGAGACUGGAAUUCCUGGUGUAGCGGUGAAAUGCGCAGAUAUCAGGAGGAACACCGGUGGCGAAGGCGGGUCUCUGGG
RNAcentral lists this ribosomal RNA (210 nucleotides) under uncultured bacterium. Its description in RNAcentral is "partial 16S ribosomal RNA". It matches the Rfam family "Bacterial small subunit ribosomal RNA", at positions 524 to 733 of the family's 1533-position model. The record is from RNAcentral.